Musa acuminata AAA Group (dessert banana) is the source of this 979-nucleotide long non-coding RNA. RefSeq lists it as uncharacterized. The record is from RefSeq and is a predicted model, not a curated record. NCBI's taxonomy places the organism in Eukaryota, Viridiplantae, Streptophyta, Magnoliopsida, Zingiberales, Musaceae. The transcript is spliced from 5 exons.
GGUGGGACCCUCGGUGUGGCCAGCGGGGUUAAAGGGCCGUGGGAAGAAAUUUCUCCUUCCAAAUAAUAGAACACCUCCGUUGGAUUGUUUUACGCUGCCGUGGCAGAACGCUUAAACCCUAGCCGACCUCGUCGCGUUCCUUUGCAGUCCUCGCCCCACCGACGGAAACCUCCCGUCUUGAUGUCUUACUCUCUCUGUUCAGCUGCUCAAGAACCACAGACAAGGCGGACAUGGAAUUUUGCAGCAAACUUGAUGGCUUAAUUGGGCAAGGACUUUUCAGUAAUGCAAUAUCAAGUGGACCAAAUGCUAUGCUUAACUCUGUGCGCUAUAUGUCAUCAACAAGACUUUUCGUUGGAGGUCUCUCCUAUGGGACUGAUGAUCAGUCACUCAGGUUUUGGAAAUGUGGUUGAAGGCUAUCUCAUAAUUGAUGCAGCCAGAGUCAUUACUGAUAGAGACACUGGAAGGUCGAGAGGAUUUGGGUUCGUGAACUUUUGACAAUGGUGAAUCAGCAAGCAAUGCUAUGGCUAGCAUGGCUGGUCAGGAAUAACAAGGCUGGAAGUAUCCAUGUAAGCUGCUCUAAUGAUAGUCCCGGUGGUGGGCCUCAAGGUGGUUUCAGUGGUGGUUAUGGCAGUGGCUAUGUCAAGGUUACGGUGGUGGAUCUGCAGAACAGAAUGACUUUGAAGGGGAUUCCAGCAUUUUUCAACGAAUAUAAGAUAUAAUGCUUGCCAUGUAAACAAAUAUCAGCAGCAAUAUCCAUGAUCAAAUUCACGUGGCAAGCAUUAUAUCUUGAUAUUCGUCGAAAAAUGCUUCAAAUUCCCCUGCUGGAAUCCACUUACGUAGUUUAAUUUGGACCCUACAACAGUAAUUGUGGUUUUUAUGGUGCGAAAAACCACAAUCAGCAUACUUAAAAGAUGGAUAUCCUGUUGUUAGGUGUCAUUUGUCACUGGUAAAUUUCUUCAAGAGAUAAUAUUGAUGGGAA